This 478-nucleotide ribosomal RNA is filed under the name uncultured bacterium. RNAcentral describes it as "partial 16S ribosomal RNA". It matches the Rfam family "Bacterial small subunit ribosomal RNA", at positions 28 to 523 of the family's 1533-position model. The record is from RNAcentral.
GACGAACGCUGGCGGCGUGCUUUACACAUGCAAGUCGAACGGUAAGGCCCUUCGGGGUACACGAGUGGCGAACGGGUGAGUAACACGUGGGUGAUCUGCCCUGCACUUCGGGAUAAGCCUGGGAAACUGGGUCUAAUACCGGAUAGGACUCCUGCCUGCAUGGGUGGGGGUGGAAAGCUUUUGCGGUGUGGGAUGGGCCCGCGGCCUAUCAGCUUGUUGGUGGGGUGAUGGCCUCCCAAGGCGACGACGGGUAGCCGGCCUGAGAGGGUGACCGGCCACACUGGGACUGAGAUACGGCCCAGACUCCUACGGGAGGCAGCAGUGGGGAAUAUUGCACAAUGGGCGCAAGCCUGAUGCAGCGACGCCGCGUGAGGGAUGACGGCCUUCGGGUUGUAAACCUCUUUCAGCACAGACGAGGCGCAAGUGACGGUAUGUGCAGAAGAAGGACCGGCCAACUACGUGCCAGCAGCCGCCGUAA